AAACCAUGAUGGUGGCAGCUUCUUAAAAAGUCAUUGUAUCUCUCUCAUGCAUCAUAUAAAGUCUCUAAAUCGGUCUGAACAAAGGAAGAGAUAUCAUUCCUCAACUU
Molecule: small nucleolar RNA, 107 nt
Organism: Gossypium raimondii (Peruvian cotton)
Lineage: Eukaryota; Viridiplantae; Streptophyta; Magnoliopsida; Malvales; Malvaceae
Rfam family: Plant small nucleolar RNA R71
About the family: R71 is a member of the C/D box family of snoRNAs containing the C (UGAUGA) and D (CUGA) box motifs.
Source: Rfam